Long non-coding RNA from Sinocyclocheilus rhinocerous, 180 nucleotides. RefSeq lists it as uncharacterized. NCBI's taxonomy places the organism in Eukaryota, Metazoa, Chordata, Actinopteri, Cypriniformes, Cyprinidae. The record is from RefSeq and is a predicted model, not a curated record. The transcript is spliced from 3 exons.
GGUCUAAAGGGAAAACCAGGAUCUUCAGGGCCUUCAGGGGAAAAAGGAGUCAAGGGUCAACCAGGGCCAAAAAGGAUGAGCGGUUCUCCUAGAAGGAGAGAAAGUAAAGGUGUUGCAGGAAAGCCAGGACCUCAAGGACCAAAAUGGAAACAUGGUAAUCCUGGUCUACCUGGAAAGCCA